This 466-nucleotide ribosomal RNA is filed under the name uncultured bacterium. RNAcentral describes it as "partial 16S ribosomal RNA". It matches the Rfam family "Bacterial small subunit ribosomal RNA", at positions 28 to 505 of the family's 1533-position model. The record is from RNAcentral.
GACGAACGCUGGCGGCGUGCUUAACACAUGCAAGUCGAACGGAAAGGCCCUGCUUUUGUGGGGUGCUCGAGUGGCGAACGGGUGAGUAACACGUGAGUAACCUGCCCUUGACUUUGGGAUAACUUCAGGAAACUGGGGCUAAUACCGGAUAGGAGCUCCUGCUGCAUGGUGGGGGUUGGAAAGUUUCGGCGGUUGGGGAUGGACUCGCGGCUUAUCAGCUUGUUGGUGGGGUAGUGGCUUACCAAGGCUUUGACGGGUAGCCGGCCUGAGAGGGUGACCGGCCACAUUGGGACUGAGAUACGGCCCAGACUCCUACGGGAGGCAGCAGUGGGGAAUAUUGCACAAGGGGCGGAAGCCUGAUGAAGCAACGCCGCGUGCGGGAUGACGGCCUUCGGGUUGUAAACCGCUUUCGCCUGUGACGAAGAGUGAGUGACGGUAAUGGGUAAAGAAGCACCGGCUAACUACG